Molecule: ribosomal RNA, 1170 nt
Filed under: metagenome
Description: SSU rRNA
Rfam family: Eukaryotic small subunit ribosomal RNA
Source: RNAcentral
AGUCUGGUGCCAGCAGCCGCGGUAAUUCCAGCUCUCAAAAUGCAUAGAAUCAUUGCUGCGGUUAAAAAGCUCGUAGUUGGAUCUGUGCUGGCGGGUCGGUCCACCUUCGGGUGCGCACUGAUUUCGCCGGCUUUCCUGCUGUAUUUGGCCCUGUGCCUUUCAACGGGUGCAGUGUCCAGUGCAGCAAGUUUACCUUGAACAAAUCAGAGUGCUUCAAACAGGCGUUUCGCUUGAAUGUUCGUGCAUGGAAUAAUAGAAGAGGAUUUCGGUUCUAUUUUAUUGGUUUUAUAGACUGAGAUAAUGGUUAACAGAGACUAACGGGGGCAUUAGUAUUGCUACGUGAGAGGUGAAAUUCUUGGACCGUAGCAAGACUGACUACAGCGUAAGCAUUUGCCAAGAAAGUCUUCAUUAAUCAAGAACGAAAGUCAGAGGUUCGAAGGCGAUCAGAUACCGCCCUAGUUCUGACCGUAAACGAUGCCAACUAGUGAUCCGCCGGUGGAACAUUCGCCCUGGUGGGGAACUUCCCGGAAACGAAAGUCUUCCGGUUCCGGGGGAAGUAUGGUUGCAAAGCUGAAACUUAAAGGAAUUGACGGAAGGGCACCACCAGGAGUGGAGCCUGCGGCUUAAUUUGACCCAACACGGGAAAACUCACCCGGCCCGGACACCGUAAGGAUUGACAGAUUGAUAGCUCUUUCAUGAUUCGGUGGAUGGUGGUGCAUGGCCGUUCUUAGUUCGUGGAGCGAUUUGUCUGGUUUAUUCCGAUAACGAGCGAGACUCUGGCCUACUAAAUAGUUUACACAUUGCUUCUGUGUGCAUAACUUCUUAGAGGGAUUUUCGGUGUUCAGCCGCAAGAAAUUGAGCAAUAACAGGUCUGUGAUGCCCUUAGAUGUCCGGGGCUGCACGCGCGCUACACUGGCAAAAUCAGCGUGCUUGUCCUUCCCCGAAAGGGGUUGGUAAACUCGUGAAAAUUUGCCGUGAUUGGGAUCGGAAAUUGCAAUUAUUUUCCGUGAACGAGGAAUUCCAAGUAAGUGCGAGUCAUCAACUCGCGUUGAUUACGUCCCUGCCCUUUGUACACACCGCCCGUCGCUGCCCGGGACUGAGCCGUUUCGAGAAACUUAGAGACCGCUGAUCUGGUAACUUCGAUUGCCAUUUUGGUGGGAACCAAUUUAA